GCCGGAGUGGCGGAAUUGGCAGACGCACGGGACUUAAAAUCCCGCGGGGGCGACCCCGUGCCGGUUCGAUCCCGGUCUCCGGCACCA
This 87-nucleotide transfer RNA is filed under the name Bacillota bacterium. RNAcentral's name for it is "Firmicutes bacterium (gut metagenome) tRNA-Leu". It matches the Rfam family "tRNA". Rfam says of the family: Transfer RNA (tRNA) molecules are approximately 80 nucleotides in length. Their secondary structure includes four short double-helical elements and three loops (D, anti-codon, and T loops). Lineage: Bacteria; Bacillati; Bacillota. The record is from RNAcentral.